UAUUUUCGUAACCAAAGGUUCCGUAGGUGAACCAGCGGAGGGAUCAUU
This 48-nucleotide ribosomal RNA is filed under the name Trichoderma gamsii. RNAcentral's name for it is "partial 18S ribosomal RNA". Lineage: Eukaryota; Fungi; Ascomycota; Sordariomycetes; Hypocreales; Hypocreaceae. The record is from RNAcentral.